RNAcentral lists this ribosomal RNA (478 nucleotides) under uncultured bacterium. RNAcentral's name for it is "partial 16S ribosomal RNA". It matches the Rfam family "Bacterial small subunit ribosomal RNA", at positions 28 to 523 of the family's 1533-position model. The record is from RNAcentral.
GACGAACGCUGGCGGCGUGCUUAACACAUGCAAGUCGAACGGUAAGGCCCUUCGGGGUACACGAGUGGCGAACGGGUGAGUAACACGUGGGUGAUCCGCCCUGCACUUCGGGAUAAGCCUGGGAAACUGGGUCUAAUACCGGACAGGACCACUGCCUGCAUGGGUGGUGGUGGAAAGCUUUUGCGGUGUGGGAUGGGCCCGCGGCCUAUCAGCUUGUUGGUGGGGUGAUGGCCUACCAAGGCGACGACGGGUAGCCGGCCUGAGAGGGUGACCGGCCACACUGGGACUGGGAUACGGCCCAGACUCCUACGGGAGGCAGCAGUGGGGAAUAUUGCACAAUGGGCGCAAGCCUGAUGCAGCGACGCCGCGUGAGGGAUGACGGCCUUCGGGUUGUAAACCUCUUUCAGCACCGACGAAGCGCAAGUGACGGUAGGUGCAGAAGAAGGACCGGCCAACUACGUGCCAGCCGCCGCGGUAA